AAAUUGAAGAGUUUGAUCAUGGCUCAGAUUGAACGCUGGCGGCAGGCCUAACACAUGCAAGUCGAACGGUAGCACAGAGAGCUUGCUCUCGGGUGACGAGUGGCGGACGGGUGAGUAAUGUCUGGGAAACUGCCUGAUGGAGGGGGAUAACUACUGGAAACGGUAGCUAAUACCGCAUAAUGUCGCAAGACCAAAGAGGGGGACCUUCGGGCCUCUUGCCAUCAGAUGUGCCCAGAUGGGAUUAGCUAGUAGGUGGGGUAAUGGCUCACCUAGGCGACGAUCCCUAGCUGGUCUGAGAGGAUGACCAGCCACACUGGAACUGAGACACGGUCCAGACUCCUACGGGAGGCAGCAGUGGGGAAUAUUGCACAAUGGGCGCAAGCCUGAUGCAGCCAUGCCGCGUGUAUGAAGAAGGCCUUCGGGUUGUAAAGUACUUUCAGCGGGGAGGAAGGUGUUGCGGUUAAUAACCGCAGCAAUUGACGUUACCCGCAGAAGAAGCACCGGCUAACUCCGUGCCAGCAGCCGCGGUAAUACGGAGGGUGCAAGCGUUAAUCGGAAUUACUGGGCGUAAAGCGCACGCAGGCGGUCUGUCAAGUCGGAUGUGAAAUCCCCGGGCUCAACCUGGGAACUGCAUUCGAAACUGGCAGGCUAGAGUCUUGUAGAGGGGGGUAGAAUUCCAGGUGUAGCGGUGAAAUGCGUAGAGAUCUGGAGGAAUACCGGUGGCGAAGGCGGCCCCCUGGACAAAGACUGACGCUCAGGUGCGAAAGCGUGGGGAGCAAACAGGAUUAGAUACCCUGGUAGUCCACGCCGUAAACGAUGUCGACUUGGAGGUUGUUCCCUUGAGGAGUGGCUUCCGGAGCUAACGCGUUAAGUCGACCGCCUGGGGAGUACGGCCGCAAGGUUAAAACUCAAAUGAAUUGACGGGGGCCCGCACAAGCGGUGGAGCAUGUGGUUUAAUUCGAUGCAACGCGAAGAACCUUACCUACUCUUGACAUCCAGAGAACUUAGCAGAGAUGCUUUGGUGCCUUCGGGAACUCUGAGACAGGUGCUGCAUGGCUGUCGUCAGCUCGUGUUGUGAAAUGUUGGGUUAAGUCCCGCAACGAGCGCAACCCUUAUCCUUUGUUGCCAGCGGCUAGGCCGGGAACUCAAAGGAGACUGCCAGUGAUAAACUGGAGGAAGGUGGGGAUGACGUCAAGUCAUCAUGGCCCUUACGAGUAGGGCUACACACGUGCUACAAUGGCGCAUACAAAGAGAAGCGACCUCGCGAGAGCAAGCGGACCUCAUAAAGUGCGUCGUAGUCCGGAUUGGAGUCUGCAACUCGACUCCAUGAAGUCGGAAUCGCUAGUAAUCGUAGAUCAGAAUGCUACGGUGAAUACGUUCCCGGGCCUUGUACACACCGCCCGUCACACCAUGGGAGUGGGUUGCAAAAGAAGUAGGUAGCUUAACCUUCGGGAGGGCGCUUACCACUUUGUGAUUCAUGACUGGGGUGAAGUCGUAACAAGGUAACCGUAGGGGAACCUGCGGUUGGAUCACCUCCUUA
This 1540-nucleotide ribosomal RNA is filed under the name Leclercia adecarboxylata. RNAcentral describes it as "bacterial SSU rRNA". It matches the Rfam family "Bacterial small subunit ribosomal RNA". The record is from RNAcentral. Lineage: Bacteria; Pseudomonadati; Pseudomonadota; Gammaproteobacteria; Enterobacterales; Enterobacteriaceae.